RNAcentral lists this ribosomal RNA (244 nucleotides) under uncultured bacterium. RNAcentral describes it as "partial small subunit ribosomal RNA". It matches the Rfam family "Bacterial small subunit ribosomal RNA", at positions 26 to 285 of the family's 1533-position model. The record is from RNAcentral.
AGAAUCAACGCUGGCGGCGUGCCUAACACAUGCAAGUCGAACGAGAAAGUGGAGCAAUCCAUGAGUAAAGUGGCGCACGGGUGAGUAACACGUGACUAACCUACCCUUGAGUGGGGGAUAACCUAGGGAAACCUGGGCUAAUACCGCAUAAUACCGAGAGGUCAAAGGAGCAAUUCGCUUAAGGAGGGGUCGCGGCCGAUUAGUUAGUUGGCGGGGUAAUGGCCCACCAAGACUAUGAUCGGUA